Molecule: non-coding RNA, 67 nt
Organism: Styela clava
Lineage: Eukaryota; Metazoa; Chordata; Ascidiacea; Stolidobranchia; Styelidae
Source: the annotation of a RefSeq genome assembly
GCCAAUGUAGGAUAAUAAAAUCUAUGAUGUUUAGGUCAUCAAGAUAGCACUAAUGUGUCCUUUGGUU